UUCUAAAAUGACAGAAAUAUGUAUAAGAUUUAAGCUCUUACUAUGAAGAAUCUUCUUCUUUUAGAAACC
This 69-nucleotide transfer RNA is filed under the name Latreillia valida. RNAcentral's name for it is "tRNA-Leu". The record is from RNAcentral. Lineage: Eukaryota; Metazoa; Arthropoda; Malacostraca; Decapoda; Latreilliidae.